This 497-nucleotide ribosomal RNA is filed under the name uncultured bacterium. Its description in RNAcentral is "partial 16S ribosomal RNA". It matches the Rfam family "Bacterial small subunit ribosomal RNA", at positions 28 to 507 of the family's 1533-position model. The record is from RNAcentral.
GAUGAACGCUGGCGGCGUGCCUAAUACAUGCAAGUCGAGCGAACAGACGAGGAGCUUGCUCCUCUGACGUUAGCGGCGGACGGGUGAGUAACACGUGGAUAACCUACCUAUAAGACUGGGAUAACUUCGGGAAACCGGAGCUAAUACCGGAUAAUAUAUUGAACCGCAUGGUUCAAUAGUGAAAGACGGUUUUGCUGUCACUUAUAGAUGGAUCCGCGCCGCAUUAGCUAGUUGGUAAGGUAACGGCUUACCACGGCGACGAUGCGUAGCCGACCUGAGAGGGUGAGCGGCCACACUGGAACUGAGACACGGUCCAGACGCCUACGGGAGGCAGCAGUAGGGAAUCUGCCGCAAUGGGCGAAAGCCUGACGGAGCAACGCCGCGUGAGUGAUGAAGGUCUUCGGAUCGUAAAACUCUGUUAUUAGGGAAGAACAAAUGUGUAAGUAACUAUGCACGUCUUGACGGUACCUAAUCAGAAAGCCACGGCUAACUACGUG